Molecule: non-coding RNA, 76 nt
Organism: Podarcis lilfordi (Lilford's wall lizard)
Lineage: Eukaryota; Metazoa; Chordata; Lepidosauria; Squamata; Lacertidae
Source: the annotation of a GenBank genome assembly
UUUAAUAUAGCUCAGUAGGUAGAGCAUGAGACUCUUAGUUUCAGUGUUGUAGGUUUGAGCCCCAAGUUGGGCAAAG